RNAcentral lists this ribosomal RNA (509 nucleotides) under uncultured bacterium. RNAcentral describes it as "partial 16S ribosomal RNA". It matches the Rfam family "Bacterial small subunit ribosomal RNA", at positions 28 to 523 of the family's 1533-position model. The record is from RNAcentral.
GACGAACGCUGGCGGCGCGCUUAAUACAUGCAAGUCGAGCGAGAACCAGGGCUUCGGCUCUGGGGACAGCGGCGAACGGGUGAGUAACACGUGGGUAAUCAACCCUCGACACCGGGAUAGCCCAGGGAAACUUGGAUUAAUACCGGAUGCCCCGUCUGGCCUUCGGGCCGGCCGGAAAAGGGUAGCUUCGGCCUCUGGUCGGGGACGAGCCCGCGGCGGAUUAGCUUGUUGGUGAGGUAAAGGCUCACCAAGGCGACGAUCCGUAGCUGGUCUGAGAGGACGAGCAGCCACACUGGGACUGAGACACGGCCCAGACUCCUACGGGAGGCAGCAGUAGGGAAUCUUGCGCAAUGGGCGAAAGCCUGACGCAGCGACGCCGCGUGAGGGAAGAAGGCCUUCGGGUUGUAAACCUCUUUCAGGAGGGACGAAGCCACUCGGGUUAAUAGCCUAGAGGGUGACGGUACCUCCAGAAGAAGCCCCGGCUAACUACGUGCCAGCAGCCGCGGUAA